AUACGGAGGGUGCAAGCGUUACUCGGAAUCACUGGGCGUAAAGCGCGCGCAGGCGGCUAUUUAAGUUGGAUGUGAAAGCCUACGGCUCAACCGUAGAACUGCAUCCAAAACUAUUUAGCUAGAGCGUGGGAGAGGAAGAUGGAAUUAGUUGUGUAGGGGUAAAAUCCGUAGAGAUAACUAGGAAUACCAAAAGCGAAGGCAAUCUUCUGGAACACUACUGACGCUGAGGCGCGAAAGCGUGGGGAGCAAACAGGAUUAGAAACCCCAGUAGUCC
This 274-nucleotide ribosomal RNA is filed under the name uncultured bacterium. Its description in RNAcentral is "partial 16S ribosomal RNA". It matches the Rfam family "Bacterial small subunit ribosomal RNA", at positions 523 to 796 of the family's 1533-position model. The record is from RNAcentral.